RNAcentral lists this ribosomal RNA (424 nucleotides) under uncultured archaeon. Its description in RNAcentral is "partial 16S ribosomal RNA". It matches the Rfam family "Archaeal small subunit ribosomal RNA", at positions 323 to 746 of the family's 1478-position model. The record is from RNAcentral.
CUACGGGACGCUGCAGUCACGAAACUUUUACAAUGCACGAAAGUGUGAUAAAGCAAGCCAAAGUGCUAUUCUCUUUGAAUAGCUUUUUUUCAAUGUAAAAACUUGGAAGAAUAAGGACUGGGAAAGACCGGUGCCAGCCGCCGCGGUAAUACCGGCAGUUCAAGUUGCAUCCAGUUUUAUUGGGUCUAAAACAUCCGUAGCUUGGAACUUAAGUCUCUUGUGAAAUCUCACGUCUUAAGCGUGAUGAAGUGCAGGAGAUACUGGGUUCCUAGAGAUCGGUAGACGUAAGAAGUACGCGACGGGUAACGGUCAAAUGUGUUAAUCCGUCGUGGACUAACAAUCAGUGAAGGCAUCUUACGAGGACGAAUCUGACAGUGAGGGAUGAAGGCCAGGGGCGCAAAACGGAUUAGAUACCCUGGUAGUC